AGUGAACGCUGGCGGUAGGCCUAACACAUGCAAGUCGAACGGCAGCACAGUAAGAGCUUGCUCUUACGGGUGGCGAGUGGCGGACGGGUGAGGAAUACAUCGGAAUCUACUUUUUCGUGGGGGAUAACGUAGGGAAACUUACGCUAAUACCGCAUACGACCUACGGGUGAAAGCAGGGGAUCUUCGGACCUUGCGCGAUUGAAUUAGCCGAUGUCGGAUUAGUUAGUUGGCGGGGUAAAGGCCCACCAAUGCGACGAUCCGUAGCUGGUCUGAGAGGAUGAUCAGCCACACUGGAACUGAGACACGGUCCAGACUCCUACGGGAGGCAGCAGUGGGGAAUAUUGGACAAUGGGCGCAAGCCUGAUCCAGCCAUACCGCGUGGGUGAAGAAGGCCUUCGGGUUGUAAAGCCCUUUUGUUGGGAAAGAAAAGCAGCAGGUUAAUACCCCGCUGUUCUGACGGUACCCAAAGAAUAAGCACCGGCUAACUUCGUG
This 492-nucleotide ribosomal RNA is filed under the name uncultured bacterium. RNAcentral's name for it is "partial 16S ribosomal RNA". It matches the Rfam family "Bacterial small subunit ribosomal RNA", at positions 29 to 507 of the family's 1533-position model. The record is from RNAcentral.